This 188-nucleotide ribosomal RNA is filed under the name Diaporthe amygdali. Its description in RNAcentral is "5.8S ribosomal RNA". The stretch from base 40 to 188 matches the Rfam family "5.8S ribosomal RNA". From Rfam's summary of the family: 5.8S ribosomal RNA (5.8S rRNA) is a component of the large subunit of the eukaryotic ribosome. It is transcribed by RNA polymerase I as part of the 45S precursor that also contains 18S and 28S rRNA. The record is from RNAcentral. Lineage: Eukaryota; Fungi; Ascomycota; Sordariomycetes; Diaporthales; Diaporthaceae.
UUAUUGUGAAACUCUGAGAAUAAAACAUAAAUGAAUCAAAACUUUCAACAACGGAUCUCUUGGUUCUGGCAUCGAUGAAGAACGCAGCGAAAUGCGAUAAGUAAUGUGAAUUGCAGAAUUCAGUGAAUCAUCGAAUCUUUGAACGCACAUUGCGCCCUCUGGUAUUCCGGAGGGCAUGCCUGUUCGAG